GGAGGAUUAGUCUAAUUGGUAAGGCAGCGGUUUUGAAAACCGCCGGGUUAAUAGCCCUUGUGGGUUCGAGUCCCUCAUCCUCCG
This 84-nucleotide transfer RNA is filed under the name Fidelibacterota bacterium. RNAcentral describes it as "tRNA-Ser". It matches the Rfam family "tRNA". Rfam says of the family: Transfer RNA (tRNA) molecules are approximately 80 nucleotides in length. The record is from RNAcentral. Lineage: Bacteria; Pseudomonadati; Fidelibacterota.